This 107-nucleotide small nuclear RNA is filed under the name Sciurus vulgaris (Eurasian red squirrel). Lineage: Eukaryota; Metazoa; Chordata; Mammalia; Rodentia; Sciuridae. The record is from RNAcentral.
GUGCUCAAUUCAGCAGCACAUAUACUAAAAUUGGAACGACACAGAGAAAAUUAGCAGGGCCCCUGUGCAAGGAUGACACACAAAUUUGUGGAGCGUUCCAUAUUUUU